GAAACCGUGUGCUUACAAGUAGUCAGAGCCCGUUAAUGGGUGAUGGCGUGCCUUUUGUAGAAUGAACCGGCGAGUUACGAUUUGAUGCAAGGUUAAGCAGUAAAUGUGGAGCCGUAGCGAAAGCGAGUCUGAAUAGGGCGUUUAGUAUUUGGUCGUAGACCCGAAACCAGGUGAUCUACCCUUGGUCAGGUUGAAGUUCAGGUAACACUGAAUGGAGGACCGAACCGACUUACGUUGAAAAGUGAGCGGAUGAACUGAGGGUAGCGGAGAAAUUCCAAUCGAACCUGGAGAUAGCUGGUUCUCUCCGAAAUAGCUUUAGGGCUAGCCUCAAGUGAUGAUUAUUGGAGGUAGAGCACUGUUUGGACGAGGGGCCCCUCUCGGGUUACCGAAUUCAGACAAACUCCGAAUGCCAAUUAAUUUAACUUGGGAGUCAGAACAUGGGUGAUAAGGUCCGUGUUCGAAAGGGAAACAGCCCAGACCACCAGCUAAGGUCCCAAAAUAUAUGUUAAGUGGAAAAGGAUGUGGCGUUGCCCAGACAACUAGGAUGUUGGCUUAGAAGCAGCCAUCAUUUAAAGAGUGCGUAAUAGCUCACUAGUCGAGUGACACUGCGCCGAAAAUGUACCGGGGCUAAACAUAUUACCGAAGCUGUGGAUUGUCCUUUGGACAAUGGUAGGAGAGCGUUCUAAGGGCGUUGAAGCAUGAUCGUAAGGACAUGUGGAGCGCUUAGAAGUGAGAAUGCCGGUGUGAGUAGCGAAAGACGGGUGAGAAUCCCGUCCACCGAUUGACUAAGGUUUCCAGAGGAAGGCUCGUCCGCUCUGGGUUAGUCGGGUCCUAAGCUGAGGCCGACAGGCGUAGGCGAUGGAUAACAGGUUGAUAUUCCUGUACCACCUAUAAUCGUUUUAAUCGAUGGGGGGACGCAGUAGGAUAGGCGAAGCGUGCGAUUGGAUUGCACGUCUAAGCAGUAAGGCUGAGUAUUAGGCAAAUCCGGUACUCAUUAAGGCUGAGCUGUGAUGGGGAGAAGACAUUGUGUCUUCGAGUCGUUGAUUUCACACUGCCGAGAAAAGCCUCUAGAUAGAAAAUAGGUGCCCGUACCGCAAACCGACACAGGUAGUCAAGAUGAGAAUUCUAAGGUGAGCGAGCGAACUCUCGUUAAGGAACUCGGCAAAAUGACCCCGUAACUUCGGGAGAAGGGGUGCUCUUUAGGGUUAACGCCCAGAAGAGCCGCAGUGAAUAGGCCCAAGCGACUGUUUAUCAAAAACACAGGUCUCUGCUAAACCGUAAGGUGAUGUAUAGGGGCUGACGCCUGCCCGGUGCUGGAAGGUUAAGAGGAGUGGUUAGCUUCUGCGAAGCUACGAAUCGAAGCCCCAGUAAACGGCGGCCGUAACUAUAACGGUCCUAAGGUAGCGAAAUUCCUUGUCGGGUAAGUUCCGACCCGCACGAAAGGCGUAACGAUUUGGGCACUGUCUCAACGAGAGACUCGGUGAAAUCAUAGUACCUGUGAAGAUGCAGGUUACCCGCGACAGGACGGAAAGACCCCGUGGAGCUUUACUGUAGCCUGAUAUUGAAAUUCGGCACAGCUUGUACAGGAUAGGUAGGAGCCUUUGAAACGUGAGCGCUAGCUUACGUGGAGGCGCUGGUGGGAUACUACCCUAGCUGUGUUGGCUUUCUAACCCGCACCACUUAUCGUGGUGGGAGACAGUGUCAGGCGGGCAGUUUGACUGGGGCGGUCGCCUCCUAAAAGGUAACGGAGGCGCUCAAAGGUUCCCUCAGAAUGGUUGGAAAUCAUUCAUAGAGUGUAAAGGCAUAAGGGAGCUUGACUGCGAGACCUACAAGUCGAGCAGGGUCGAAAGACGGACUUAGUGAUCCGGUGGUUCCGCAUGGAAGGGCCAUCGCUCAACGGAUAAAAGCUACCCCGGGGAUAACAGGCUUAUCUCCCCCAAGAGUUCACAUCGACGGGGAGGUUUGGCACCUCGAUGUCGGCUCAUCGCAUCCUGGGGCUGUAGUCGGUCCCAAGGGUUGGGCUGUUCGCCCAUUAAAGCGGUACGCGAGCUGGGUUCAGAACGUCGUGAGACAGUUCGGUCCCUAUCCGUCGUGGGCGUAGGAAAUUUGAGAGGAGCUGUCCUUAGUACGAGAGGACCGGGAUGGACAUACCUCUGGUGUACCAGUUGUCGUGCCAACGGCAUAGCUGGGUAGCUAUGUGUGGACGGGAUAAGUGCUGAAAGCAUCUAAGCAUGAAGCCCCCCUCAAGAUGAGAUUUCCCAACUUCGGUUAUAAGAUCCCUCAAAGAUGAUGAGGUUAAUAGGUUCGAGGUGGAAGCAUGGUGACAUGUGGAGCUGACGAAUACUAA
Molecule: ribosomal RNA, 2347 nt
Filed under: Staphylococcus aureus
Lineage: Bacteria; Bacillati; Bacillota; Bacilli; Caryophanales; Staphylococcaceae
Description: partial 23S ribosomal RNA
Rfam family: Bacterial large subunit ribosomal RNA
Source: RNAcentral